This 359-nucleotide unclassified non-coding RNA is filed under the name uncultured Borrelia sp. Lineage: Bacteria; Pseudomonadati; Spirochaetota; Spirochaetia; Spirochaetales; Borreliaceae. The record is from RNAcentral.
AGGGUUUUUAUUUUAUACUUUAAACCUUGAAUUUAUUUUUUAAAUGUUUUAUUCAAAUAAUAUAAACAUUUAAAAAAUAUAAAAAAUAAUAUAUAUAUUGACAUGGAUUAAACAAAGAUAUAUAUUAUUCUAUGUUGUAUAAACAAAUUGGCAAAAUAGAGAUGGAAGAUAAAAAUAUGGUCAAAGUAAUAAGAGUCUAUGGUGAAUACCUAGGAGCUUUAAGGCGAGGAAGGUCGUGGUAAGCUGCGAAAAGCUUGGGGGAGAAGCAAACAUUUAUUGAUCCCAAGAUUACCGAAUGGAGUAAUCCAGCUAGCAAGAUGCUAGCUAUCUAUUAUUUAAAUAAUAGAGGCGAUACCAGG